Molecule: ribosomal RNA, 495 nt
Filed under: uncultured bacterium
Lineage: Bacteria
Description: partial 16S ribosomal RNA
Rfam family: Bacterial small subunit ribosomal RNA
Source: RNAcentral
GAUGAACGCUAGCGGGAGGCCUAACACAUGCAAGCCGAGCGGUAUUUGUCUUUCGGGACAGAGAGAGCGGCGUACGGGUGCGGAACACGUGUGCAACCUGCCUUUAUCAGGGGGAUAGCCUUUCGAAAGGAAGAUUAAUACCCCAUAAUAUAUCUGAUGGCAUCAUUAGAUAUUGAAAACUCCGGUGGAUAGAGAUGGGCACGCGCAAGAUUAGAUAGUUGGUGAGGUAACGGCUCACCAAGUCAGUGAUCUUUAGGGGGCCUGAGAGGGUGAUCCCCCACACUGGUACUGAGACACGGACCAGACUCCUACGGGAGGCAGCAGUGAGGAAUAUUGGACAAUGGGUGCGAGCCUGAUCCAGCCAUCCCGCGUGAAGGACGACGGUUCUAUGGAUUGUAAACUUCUUUUAUACUGGGAUAAACCUACUCUCGUGAGGGUAGCUGAAGGUACAGUAUGAAUAAGCACCGGCUAACUCCGUGCCAGCAGCCGCCGUAA